Molecule: ribosomal RNA, 500 nt
Filed under: uncultured bacterium
Lineage: Bacteria
Description: partial 16S ribosomal RNA
Rfam family: Bacterial small subunit ribosomal RNA
Source: RNAcentral
AUUGAACGCUGGCGGCAUGCCUUACACAUGCAAGUCGAACGGCAGCACGGGAGCAAUCCUGGUGGCGAGUGGCGAACGGGUGAGUAAAGUAUCGGAACGUGCCCAGUCGUGGGGGAUAACGUAGCGAAAGUUACGCUAAUACCGCAUACGAUCUAUGGAUGAAAGCGGGGGAUCGCAAGACCUCGCGCGAUUGGAGCGGCCGAUAUCAGAUUAGGUAGUUGGUGGGGUAAAGGCUCACCAAGCCGACGAUCUGUAGCUGGUCUGAGAGGACGACCAGCCACACUGGGACUGAGACACGGCGCAGACUCCUACGGGAGGGAGCAGUGGGGAAUUUUGGACAAUGGGCGAAAGCCUGAUCCAGCCAUGCCGCGUGGAGGAUGAAGGCCUUCGGGUUGUAAACUGCUUUUGUACGGAACGAAAAGGUUUGGCCUAAUAAGCUGAGCUCAUGACGGUACCGUAAGAAUAAGCACCGGCUAACUACGUGCCAGCCGCCGCGGUAA